Molecule: long non-coding RNA, 1026 nt
Organism: Ictalurus punctatus (channel catfish)
Lineage: Eukaryota; Metazoa; Chordata; Actinopteri; Siluriformes; Ictaluridae
Exons: 2
Source: RefSeq, a predicted model, not a curated record
GGCUAAUUGGGCCCAAUUUGGACAUUUUCACUUAGGGAUAUACUCACUUUUGUUGCCAGCGGUUUUGACAUUAAUGGCUGUGUGUUGAGUUAUUUUCAGAGGACAGCAAAUUUACACUGUUACACAAGCUGUACACUCACUACUUUGCAUUGUAGCAAAGUGUCAUUUCUUCAGUGUUGUCACAUGAAAAGAUAUAAUCAAAUAUUUACAAAAAUCUCACUUUUGUGAGAUACUGUAUAUAGUGCUUUUUUAAUCUUAACAGUUCCACAAAGUGCUUUACACUAGUUCUCAUUCACCCAUUCACACGGCAAUGGUAUGUGCCAUGCAAGGUGCUAGGGUGCCAUUGGGAACAACUUGGGGUUUGGUGUCUUGCCCAAGGACACUUCAGCCAGGAAUCGAAACACCAACCCUACAAUUAGUGGACAACCCACUCUACUACCUGAGCCACAGCCACCCACGCGGGUCAUAAGAGGACUGCACAGGAAAAGUCUAAAAAGAGGGUUCUUGCAAAGGGCGAAAAUUCGAGCAAUUAUUCUUUGACUGGAGCGCGGUAUGUCAGCGAGAUUACGGCGGCUUCCAGUGCACCUGCCCCGGCUGGGUGCUCACGAUGAACCCGGGGAUUCAUUUGCGGCCUACAAGACCGCCUGACUAUUCAGGCUAGUAAUGCACAUGUUUAUGCUUUAAUGAUGUUUAUGUUCCCACUUAACAUUCCUUUUGUGUAGAAAAACUAGACAAUGCAAGUUUCUGUCGUCAUGUAUCCCAUUGGGCUGUAGACCUGUACGCGUGUAGCAGACACACCUCUCACUCCUUCUCUCUGCUGCAAACAGCUACAUGGGAGAACUUUACCCACAGGAUUUGAAUUGACAACAGGAACAACUAUUUAAGGACGACAGCGAGUUUCAAUGGAUACUAUCUACUCACGCGUCAAAUUUGUUGUUCAUUAUUUCCUAAGUUCCGGCCUUUCUCCGCUCGCUGUUCCGGAGGCCGACCCGUCAAAUCCGCAGCAUCAGAGCACGAGCAUCCUGG